GUACAGCCAUCAUUAUCAUUGAUCAUUGCAUUGCAUUACAUCGUGCACUGCAUGCAGUGAACGUGUUGAUUAGCUGUUACCCUGUUAAAACAGUACAUGAAAUCCAUGUUGUUUUCAUGUGGAAUCUACGUUUUUACAUAGAUUUUACGUAGAUUCAACGUGGAUAUCAUGUACUGUUUUACUGGGUGGUGCUGGUUAUUUGAUAAUAUAAAGCGACGAGAUCGACCGUGUGUGGAAAAAGUGAUUCAUAAAAGCUCAGGGAUUCUUUACACAGCAUACUGUUUAUUAAGUUUGCAGCACGAUUCGACCUCUUUCCAUUCUACACAGAUUCAACAUGGAUAUCUUGUACUGUUUUACUGGGUGCUGGUUGUAUGAUAAUAUAAAGCUCGUAGAGAGAUCGACCGUGUGUGGAAAGAGUGAUUCUUCAAAGCUCAAGGAUUCUUUACACAGUAUACUGUCUAUUAAGUUUGCAGCAAAAUUCGACCUCUUUCCAUAAAAUAGGAAAGACCGCGUGUGAAGUGGAGAGAAAACGAAAACUUAUCACUAAUCUGGAUUUGAAGGAAAUAAAUUUAAAUGGAUUGAUACAAAUUUUGAAGAAACUUUCAAUUCAAAUAUCCUCAUUAGUUGUUGAUCGGAAGAAAACUAAGAUUUUGACGGAAGUACAGGAAGAAUUACGUCGAAUCAGAAUAAGGAAAGACAGAAUUGGAAACAAAUGAGUUUGACAUUACAAAUACAUUGCCACUAGCCACUGAGCAAUAAAUAUUAGAAAUGGAGCGCUUUUUAUUGCACAAAAAAAUUAAAAUUAACUGCGCCAGAUGUUACAAGAAAUUGGUGGUUCCAAUCCAACGGAAAUGACCCGCAAAAUUAUGAGUACACUCUUUACUCUUGAAUUGUGUACAAAAUAAAAAAUUGUGUACGCAUUCAAAGGUAAAAGAACAAAUAAAAAUAACUUCAGUACUUUAAGCAUCUGCAAAGUUAUAGAAAAUAAAAGUCGUAAUAAAAGACAACACAACUAUAACAGAAAUAAACAAAAUAAUAGAAAAUUGGCUUAUUAGAGCAAAGGACAAACUUUUGCGUAAAAAAACACACGCUUUAGCACAAAGUAAUAACACAAGAGAUGAAUAAAAAUCAACAAGAUGGAUAUUUAUGUGAUAUGUCUGUGAUUUUUUAUGAUUAAGCAUAAUUUUUAUUCUAAGUUACUUAUGCCUUAAAAAAUAUAUAUAUAUGUACAAAUAUAUAAACAUGUAUGCAUAAUUAAUAAAUAAUUGGA
This is a long non-coding RNA of Monomorium pharaonis (pharaoh ant), 1270 nucleotides long. RefSeq lists it as uncharacterized. The transcript has 6 exons. Lineage: Eukaryota; Metazoa; Arthropoda; Insecta; Hymenoptera; Formicidae. The record is from RefSeq and is a predicted model, not a curated record.